AUUUAAGUAGUUUAAUAAAAAUAUUGAUUUGUGGAGUCAGUGAUGUAAUAUGUUACCUUAAAUU
RNAcentral lists this transfer RNA (64 nucleotides) under Pogonostoma subtiligrossum. Its description in RNAcentral is "tRNA-His". The record is from RNAcentral. Lineage: Eukaryota; Metazoa; Arthropoda; Insecta; Coleoptera; Carabidae.